GAAUCCCGUCUUUGGCAUGGAUGACCGGGGCUUUUGUGAUGCGCUCUCGAAGAGUCGAGUUGUUUGGGAAUGCAGCUCAAAAUGGGUGGUGAACUCCAUCUAAAGCUAAAUAUUGGCGAGAGACCGAUAGCGAACAAGUACCGUGAGGGAAAGAUGAAAAGCACUUUGGAAAGAGAGUGAAACAGUACGUGAAAUUGUUGAAAGGGAAACGCUUGAAGUCAGUCGCGUCGGCCGAGACUCAGCCUUGCCUCGGCUUGGUGUACUUCUUGACCGACGGGUCAGCAUCAAUUUUGCCCCUUGGAUAAUGGCGAGGGAAAUGUGACACCUUUAUAGGUGUGUUAUAGUCUCUCGUCGCACGCAAGGGUCGGGAUUGAGGAACUCAGCACGCGCCUUCGGGCGUCGGGGCCUUGCCCACGAUACGUGCUUAGGAUGUUGGCGUAAUGGCUUUAAACGACCCGUCUUGAAACACGGACCAAGGAGUCUAACAUGCCCGCGAGUGUUCGGGUGGAAAACCCGUGCGCGCAAUGAAAGUGAAAGUUGGGACCUCUGUCGCGGAGGGCACCGACGCCCGGACCAGAGCUUCUGCGACGGAUCUGCGGUGGAGCGUGUAUGUUAGGACCCGAAAGAUGGUGAACUAUGCCUGAAUAGGGUGAAGCCAGAGGAAACUCUGGUGGAGGCUCGUAGCGAUUCUGACGUGCAAAUCGAUCGUCAAAUUUGGGUAUAGGGGCGAAAGACUAAUCGAACCAUCUAGUAGCUGGUUCCUGCC
This 766-nucleotide ribosomal RNA is filed under the name uncultured Russula. RNAcentral describes it as "partial 28S ribosomal RNA". It matches the Rfam family "Eukaryotic large subunit ribosomal RNA", at positions 216 to 962 of the family's 3401-position model. The record is from RNAcentral. Lineage: Eukaryota; Fungi; Basidiomycota; Agaricomycetes; Russulales; Russulaceae.